CACGGUUGCCCCAUCAGACAACUUGUCGUUUUCCUUCAUUUGUGAUCACAGGUUACUGGUUAGUGACGGAAAUCCGUUUAGGACUCGAUUCCUAGUUGUCAUCUUCGUUCCCUCUGAUCAAGAACUUCUCCAUUAACAUCACCAAAGUCCAAAGCCCAUAGUUCCAUCAAGUCGUAAUCUCUUUGCCUCAGUAGACAUGGUCACUAACUCCUUCACAAUGCUAAUAUUCCAGCAGACCCAUCAGGCAAAUUCCUCACCACUAAUCGCCACAAGAACCCUGUAUCCCUCGGCCGUGACUCUUCCCCUUCCAUCUCCGCGGAAUCCCAUCUUCGCGCGCUCCAGUGCCUCCGACAAUUCAACCAAAUUCUCAAAUUCCCCCCCAUAGGACCCGCUGCGUCACCACUGCAGCAGUGCGAAGCAGAUAAUGGAAUUGAGCUUAGCGCGGGAAUACAUGAAACUAUUGUAUUAGAUGUUGCUUUGUCUGGUGAAGAGGAGGCAAGGUUUGUAUACAAUGGUGUACUCCAGUUUUUACCGCUUCUUGAGAAAAGAGUGUUGGUUGUGGAUAUUGCAAGUGGGUCUACUGAAUUAGUCAUAGAGAAGAUGAGAAGUGUUAUUUUGGGGGUCUCUUUGAAGUAGGGGCAUGUGGGUUCGACUCAGAAGUUCGUUAAUAGUGGUAAUGUUUCGGACAUGAGACAGUUCGUUAGGUUAAUUACAAGGGAAUCUGGGUUGGUUGAUAAAGUUAAGGAGUGUGGUUUUGGGGUGAUUGUUAGGACUUCAGGGGCUAUAAAAGCAAUUGAAAAGGCUUUCUACUGUAUUUAUGGACAAUAUUUGGUUGACGGUAACAAGGUUUUGUUCAGGAAUUAUAACUGCGAUUGAAAGUUCAGCAAUGGAGAAUUGAGGUGUUGUGGACAGGUUGUGUAAGGAAGGGAAGGGAGAGAGGAUUCGGAGGUAUGAACUUUUCAAGAGAAGAUCAGAGUUUAUUGUUGCUGGUGCAGUGUUAUUGGAAGAGAUAUUUGAGGUGCUUGGAAUUGAAGAAAUGGAGGUCUGCGUAUGCCUUGGGAGAGGGUGUUAUUGCUGAAACUUUGGCUGAAGUGUUUGAUGGUUAUAAUUUGAAUGCUAAUGUGAGGUGGCAAUCUGUUGCAAGGCUUGAGCAAGGUUUGGCUACAAGAAGACAAUUAAAUCUGUAGCAAAAUGUGCUAUCAUUGCCAAUAAUGGUGAUUACCUUCAUUGAUAUAGUGCUGAAGAGGUCAAGGUAUAUUACAUACAAUCUGGUUAUCAUGCUUUGUACUCAAUAUGCACAUAUUCUGAGAGUGCUUUCUGUGCUGAUAGAGAUUUGGAAUUUUGCAGUUAAUAGCACUACUUACAAGGCAUCACGAUAUUCGGGGAAGCUGGCAAUAGAACUGCUUUAGCUGUGGGGGAGGACAUGGAGAAAGAACCAAAGAAAGAAUUAGCACAAUUGAAUUGUAAAAUUUUCAGCCCAUUACCAUUAUUUGUUUCUUCAGUAAGUCAGUAUGAUUAAGAUAGUAAAAUUCUUACUUUUUUUAUAGUUAAUUUUGUUCAUAUUCAGGUAUUCCUGCAACAAUUGUUGUUUGAGAUGCAGUCUUACACUUUAGAAUCAUCAAAGCCUUGAAAAUACUUGCACAAUGGACAUCAGUCAAUCUCAGUUUAUAAUAGAAAGUUAGAAACCUAUGUACCUUAUACACUGGAUCCCAAUAAUUGACCUAUAUUGAUUACCCCGGGAACAAACUAUACCUGGUAUGUCUGCAUUGUUCUUGUUUACAGUUUGAUUAUAUGUCACUCUGGUCUCGACCAUUUUCAUCAAGGUACCGAAUGCAUAUAUGUCUCACCUUCCUUUGUUCUUUCUUAAUCAGAAUACUUACAAACAUGUUCUCCCUUCUCUCUCCCUCAUGAAAGGGUAGUUGUGUUGCUGUAGAUGCCCUUGUGAUUUGGUUCAGGCAAAAUAAAGAUGAAUUGGAGAGAGGAGCUAAUAUGCAAAAUCAUUUGCUGCAUUGCUCAUUGCAUAUGGACACGACUAGUGGAUGUUGGCCUCUGAUUUCAACUGCUUUUUGGUGCAUAGUUUCCUUGUUCGUCUUUAUUCCUGUACAUAAUCUGUCUCAUUCUUAUCCUUGUUGCUAAUGUUGCUAGAGAGAGCAUGCAAAGGAAUUAUAUGACCGCUUCACAAAUGCAAAUUAAAUUUUGUUAAUGGUUGCAGAUGUUAAAAGCCCCCCCGGUGUUUUCCAUCAGGACAAUGCCCUGCUAACUCCAACCAACUCAUAGAAAAUCCUCAAAGAAGCAUUAUUAUUAAUUUCCUUUCUAAUAUGCAGCCUUACUGAAACACAAAUCUUGACAUUUAACAUGACGUGAAUAGGUAGAUGUCUUCUGUCUUGAUCCUUGGAACAGGUAUUAAAAUUUUCACUUUUAUGCUUUCAAGCUUCCAAGACCUGUUACAUCUUGAUUGGAAUCUCAUUGGUAUACAAAGUUCAUGUUAUUUACAAGGUUGACUCUGUGAAGUGGACUUGUUGACUAGAUAACCCAUGGUUGUUUACGUGAUAUGCACUGCUUGAUUUUACUGUUAACCAUGCAAGGUGAACUAGGAAAGAAAUUAACCUUUCACAGGGCUCUCGGAAUUUGGAUAACUUUUGGUUUUCCAUUGGUAAGUAAUGCUUCUGUGUAAGGGAUCUAGCUUGGCAAAUACUCAGUGAUCCAUACUCUAUAUAGGAAAAUGUAGCAUGUUCUCACUAAUACCCAUUGUUGAUAGAAAAAUUUAUUCGUUAGUUCAAAGGAUUUCUAUGGUUGUUGUAUUUUAUUAAUGGCUUGUGAUGCGUGCCUCAAGAACAAGGAAACAGGGGGCUUUCACUUCCCUCCAGCUGCGUGUUCUUGUCUUCCAUUUAGCAUAGAAAUUUCAUGUGAUUUACAAAGGCAAGUAUGCAGUUGGAAGGGUUAGAUAUUCACUGUGAACAUCCAGCCAAAUGCUUAAUGAAGAUGUUCUGGUUCAGAAAAGGUGACAAGAAAUGUGGCAGUGGGGUUGCUGCCUUUUCUUGUGAUUAAGAGUCUGUUUGACAUUUCUAUUGGAACCGUAGUUAAAAAAUACUUCUUGAAAUGUUAAUUUGAGAACAUCAGAGGGCUAUUUGGUUCACCUGUUGGAUGCAGUUAAUAAUUGAUAGACACAAAAAUAAGUGAAUUAAAUUAUUUGGCAAACUUAAAAAAAUAAAACUCAUAGCUGAUAGGUAAUUGAUAUGAUGUUCAUCGGUUGUAAUUGUAUCAGCUCUGUUUUUAGAAUUAUUUCUCAUCAGCUGAUAGCUGAUU
This 3306-nucleotide unclassified non-coding RNA is filed under the name Hevea brasiliensis (rubber tree). Lineage: Eukaryota; Viridiplantae; Streptophyta; Magnoliopsida; Malpighiales; Euphorbiaceae. The record is from RNAcentral.